AUAUCAAUAAGCGGAGGAAAAGAAACCAACAGGGAUUGCCUCAGUAACGGCGAGUGAAGCGGCAAAAGCUCAAAUUUGAAAUCUGGAGCCUUCGGCUUCCGAGUUGUAAUUUGAAGAGGAUGUUUCGGUUGCGGCUUGGGCCUAAGUUCCUUGGAACAGGACGUCAUGGAGGGUGAGAAUCCCGUAUAUGGCUCCCGGCUUGCUUCCAUGUGAAACUCCUUCGAAGAGUCGAGUUGUUUGGGAAUGCAGCUCAAAAUGGGUGGUAAAUUUCAUCUAAAGCUAAAUAUUGGCGAGAGACCGAUAGCGCACAAGUAGAGUGAUCGAAAGAUGAAAAGCACUUUGAAAAUGGGGUUAAAUAGUACGUGAAAUUGCCAAAAGGGAAGCGCUCGUGGCUAGACUUGCGCGGGGCAGAUCAGCCUGCUAUAUUGUAGGUGUAUUCUUUCUCGUGCAGGCCAGUGUCGGUUGGUACUGGUGCGGAAAGGUAGCGUGAAUGUGGCUCCUUUAGGAGUGUUAUAGCACGUUACAUAAUUCGCUGGUGCCGUCCGAGGACCGCGCUUUUUGCAAGGACACUGGCAUAAUGGCCACUAGCGG
Molecule: ribosomal RNA, 591 nt
Filed under: uncultured fungus
Lineage: Eukaryota; Fungi
Description: eukaryotic LSU rRNA
Rfam family: Eukaryotic large subunit ribosomal RNA
Source: RNAcentral